Molecule: ribosomal RNA, 440 nt
Filed under: uncultured bacterium
Lineage: Bacteria
Description: partial 16S ribosomal RNA
Rfam family: Bacterial small subunit ribosomal RNA
Source: RNAcentral
CCUACGGGGGGCAGCAGUGGGGAAUAUUGGACAAUGGGGGGAACCCUGAUCCAGCGACGCCGCGUGAGUGAAGAAGUAUUUCGGUAUGUAAAACUCUAUCAGCAGGGAAGAAAAUGACGGUACCUGACUAAGAAGCCCCGGCUAACUACGUGCAAGCAGCCGCGGUAAUACGUCGGGGGCAAGCGUUAUCCGGAUUUACUGGGUGUAAAGGGAGCGUAGACGGUGCAGCAAGUCUGAUGGGAAAGGUCGGGGCCCAACCCCCGGACUGCAGUUGAAACUGUUGAACUGGAGUACAGGAGAGGUAAGCGGAAUGCGUAGUGUAGCGGUGAAAUGCGUAGAUAUUACGCGGAACACCAGUGGCGAAGGCGGCGUACUGGACCGUAACUGACGUUGAGGCUCGAAAGCGUGGGUAGCAAACAGGAUUAGAUACCCUAGUAGUC